GGAGGGAUGGCCGAGUGGUUGAAGGCGCACGCUUGGAAAGCGUGUUUAUCUUACGGUAACGAGGGUUCGAAUCCCUCUCCCUCUU
RNAcentral lists this transfer RNA (85 nucleotides) under Fibrobacter sp. RNAcentral's name for it is "tRNA-Ser". It matches the Rfam family "tRNA". Rfam says of the family: Transfer RNA (tRNA) molecules are approximately 80 nucleotides in length. Their secondary structure includes four short double-helical elements and three loops (D, anti-codon, and T loops). Further hydrogen bonds mediate the characteristic L-shaped molecular structure. tRNAs have two regions of fundamental functional importance: the anti-codon, which is responsible for specific mRNA codon recognition, and the 3' end, to which the tRNAs corresponding amino acid is attached (by aminoacyl-tRNA synthetases). tRNAs cope with the degeneracy of the genetic code in two manners: having more than one tRNA (with a specific anti-codon) for a particular amino acid; and 'wobble' base-pairing, i.e. permitting non-standard base-pairing at the 3rd anti-codon position. The record is from RNAcentral. Lineage: Bacteria; Pseudomonadati; Fibrobacterota; Fibrobacteria; Fibrobacterales; Fibrobacteraceae. RNAcentral also lists the same sequence under 2 other names.